This 211-nucleotide ribosomal RNA is filed under the name uncultured bacterium. RNAcentral's name for it is "partial 16S ribosomal RNA". It matches the Rfam family "Bacterial small subunit ribosomal RNA", at positions 1289 to 1500 of the family's 1533-position model. The record is from RNAcentral.
CAGUUCGGAUUGUAGUCUGCAACUCGACUACAUGAAGCUGGAAUCGCUAGUAAUCGCAGAUCAGAAUGCUGCGGUGAAUACGUUCCCGGGUCUUGUACACACCGCCCGUCACACCAUGGGAGUUGGGAAUACCCGAAGCCUGUGAGCUAACGUUAAGAGGCAGCAGUCGAAGGUAGAAUCAAUGAUUGGGGUGAAGUCGUAACAAGGUAAC